UGUCACAAGUGGCAAGAUUUCAUUUCUCUUUUAUGGCUGAGUAAUAUUCCAUUGUAGGAAAAAGAGAACUGUCGUGUCAGGAGCAUUAGUAGUGCUGAAAACUCUACGAUCCUCAGAAAGACCAAAAAGCUUUCAGAAUAUCAGAGGAACUAGAUCAGGGAUCCCCUCUCAAUACUUUACUAUGAAAAUUGUCAAAUAAAAAGAUUUUGGAAGAAA
Long non-coding RNA from Pteropus alecto (black flying fox), 216 nucleotides. RefSeq lists it as uncharacterized. Lineage: Eukaryota; Metazoa; Chordata; Mammalia; Chiroptera; Pteropodidae. The transcript has 2 exons. The record is from RefSeq and is a predicted model, not a curated record.